AGGAGUCGCCAUGUGAUCCCAGGAAGAGAGGAUGGAUAAGGCCGGUGUCCUUGGAAUCCCAAGAGCAACAUGGAAGUCUCCAUCAGUAGGCAUGCAAUGAAUCAAAACAAGAGUGAGUUGUGAAAUCAAAUGUCUACAAAUGACAGCUGGCUAGUGACUGGAGAAACACAUCUGUCCUGUCUUACUGAUGGCCUAUGAUGUGGUGUAGCAUUUGGAAUUUUCCAUUGCAGUUUUCAAAGUCAUCUCCAAAGUUUAUGGUAUCAGUAUUAGAUUGGAAAAUCAUACUCUAAAACUUUAUUUUAAAGAAAGACUGGUGAAUCAUAAUAGACAAAUGAUUACAAAAAUAAAGGCAAGAAAAGUUAUGAACUGCUGAACUGAAGAAGAUAAAGGAUUUCACUUCUAAGUGGAAAUCACAAACUUGUAGAGACAAAGAAAAUGUUCAUGAUGGGACACACCUCGGUUCAAAUGCUGGACUGGUUCCACCCACUCUUUCAACCAUUACACUUAUUUUCAAAGUCCAAGACUUGCCUGAUAUGGGCUGUCAUAUGGAGACACACUAGCUUCAUAGGAUGGACAUGCUCUCUAAGACUGAGGAACAUGGAGGAAGAGGAAAGGAGAGACGAGACGCAGCAGGAUGAUUUCUUCUGGAAAUGACACAUGGUUGCCUUAGGAGCUCGCUUUCAGCUGUGGUAAUCUGCACAAAGCCACACAGCACUGAGUCCACUAAGACUUCAUCAUGGCUGGAGGUGUAAAUGGGCAGGAAAAAGGACACCCGUCCAUGUUGAGUGUGUAGACUGAAAACUGAAUUUGUGUUUAAUUCAGAGAGGAACUUCCUCUUCCCCGGUCUUAUUUCUUCCAAUGCUUUAUUUCUCCUGUGAUCUAAAUCAAUAAAAGAGUUUUCUCUUGAAAAGA
This is a non-coding RNA of Cricetulus griseus (Chinese hamster), 912 nucleotides long. NCBI's taxonomy places the organism in Eukaryota, Metazoa, Chordata, Mammalia, Rodentia, Cricetidae. The record is from RefSeq and is a predicted model, not a curated record.